This 756-nucleotide transfer RNA is filed under the name Ochrobactrum sp. n-99. RNAcentral's name for it is "16S-23S ribosomal RNA intergenic spacer". The stretch from base 273 to 346 matches the Rfam family "tRNA". The record is from RNAcentral. Lineage: Bacteria; Pseudomonadati; Pseudomonadota; Alphaproteobacteria; Hyphomicrobiales; Brucellaceae.
UCUAAGGAAGAUCGAGAAUUGGAAAGACGCAGUCUUCGGGCUGAUGAUCCUUCUCCAUCUUAUUAGAACAUAGAUCGCAGGCCAGUCAGCCUGACGAUCGCUUUGCAGGCGUGCCGCCUUCGUUUCUCUUUCUUCAAGAUGAUUGACAAUCUUUCGCUCACGCGCUGAGCGCAUUCUUUGAAUGCGAGCGCUGCGCGAGCGCGGCCCAGAUGGGCGCGACGGACUAGCGUCCUGUAUUGGUGCUGACUGAUUUAUUGGUUGGCUGGAUACACGGGCUUGUAGCUCAGUUGGUUAGAGCACACGCUUGAUAAGCGUGGGGUCGGAGGUUCAAGUCCUCCCAGGCCCACCAAAUAUGUGAUAAGGGGCCAUAGCUCAGCUGGGAGAGCACCUGCUUUGCAAGCAGGGGGUCGUCGGUUCGAUCCCGUCUGGCUCCACCAUCACUUUGUUUGGUGUAGAGUAGGACGGCAGUCAAUCAUCGAGGAAAGAAGCCAGUUUGCGGACUUUACGAAGUCUGCCUGUUCUGUAUGAAAUCGUGAAGAGAAGAUGUAAUCGGAUCAACUAUCCAGUUGAUGUCGCAAUGGUUUGCUCAAACCUUGCAUUAUGAUUGGACGCUAACCGCGCCACCGAUUGUAUCUCGAGAAGCUGGUCUUUCUGCUGAUAACGUUGAAGCUGACAAGCAUUUGCAGUCAAAUGGCAACAUUUGACGUGGCAUAAUGCGUUGUAAGAAUGUUUUGAUGGAUAUUGGCAAUGAGAGUG